This 205-nucleotide long non-coding RNA is filed under the name Elaeis guineensis (African oil palm). RNAcentral's name for it is "long non-coding RNA (EGUI_LNC052913)". The record is from RNAcentral. Lineage: Eukaryota; Viridiplantae; Streptophyta; Magnoliopsida; Arecales; Arecaceae.
AUUAGGCAAACUCAUCUUAAUUUGGAUCUAGAUUAAUUGGAUUUGGAUGAAACCUAAUUAAGAAGCAAAUAAUCAAAACCCUAGAGUCCAAAUUAGUUGGACUUCCUCCCUUGCACUACAUCUCUUCUCCAUGCCACUUCUCAUCGCAUAAAACUAGUUUGUGCAUAAGAAAAACUCCAACAAGAGCCUAUUGUUAUCGCCCACC